UAUUUUAUAAAAUGACCUAAUAACGUUACAAAGGAGAGAUAAAGAUAAAAAAACUGUUAGCGAAUGCUCUAACAGAUAUCAGCAUGGUCCCAUUUUUACGUGGGGUUCUUUUUAUUAACAAAUAUUACAAGGUCUCCCUCAUCUUCUUGUGUGAGACCUUGAAAUUAUGUAAAUUGUUCUGCUAAUAGGUUCACAAGGCCCCCCAAGACCCAUAGGGGUUUGUAAUUCCAAUGUAAUUUUUAGCAUGAGAAAGAAAAUUAGGAUAAUAAAGUGAUAACCACCACUUCCACCGUCUCUGUAACCACCACCUGAACCACCACCAUCGCCACCUCCACCGCCACUGUCACCACCGUCACCACCGUCAUUGCAAUCUCCUCCAUAGCCUUCACCGCCGCUUCCGAAACCACUAUGCCACUACCACCUCCUCCGAAGUUGCCUCCUCAACCUCCUCUAAAGUAUAAAAUUUGUAUAAUCUUUCCUAUGAAAUUUGAAUUUGAAUAUUUGAAUUUGAAUUUAUAUUUGUGGUUAGAUCCUAGAUAUUUGAAUUUGAAUGAUUAAUUAUGGCAGUUAUUUCUCCUUAAUUUUAGGUUUCCUUAUUAAUAUGAAUUGCGUUAUUUUUGUAAUUAUUUUGUGUAUGUAUUAUUUUUGUAAAAAUUUUUAAUUGUUGUAUAUUAGUGUUAAGGACCCUAAAUUAUAAAGUCCAUUGCUUUAUUAAUUAGGCCAAUGGGAUGGCCAUAAAUAGUAUGAUGAGUAAAAUAUAAUUU
RNAcentral lists this long non-coding RNA (764 nucleotides) under Panax ginseng (ginseng). Its description in RNAcentral is "long non-coding RNA (PGIN_LNC008313)". The record is from RNAcentral. Lineage: Eukaryota; Viridiplantae; Streptophyta; Magnoliopsida; Apiales; Araliaceae.